AGUGAACGCUGGCGGCGUGCUUAACACAUGCAAGUCGAACGGACUUAAGGGGCUUGCUUCUUAAGUUAGUGGCGCACGGGUGAGUAAUAUAUAGCUAACCUGCCCUUUAGUGGGGGACAACAGAUGGAAACGUCUGCUAAUACCCCAUACUCCUUCUUACUAUAAGGUAAGUUGGGAAAGAUUUAUCGCUAAAGGAUGGGGCUUAUUGUAUCAGCUAGUUGGUGGGGUAAUGGCCUACCAAGGCUAUGACGCAUACCUGGUCUGAGAGGAUGAUCAGGCACACUGGAACUGAGACACGGUCCAGACUCCUACGGGAGGCAGCAGUGGGGAAUAUUGCACAAUGGAGGAAACUCUGAUGCAGCAACGCCGCGUGGAGGAUGACGCAUUUCGGUGUGUAAACUCCUUUUAUAAGGGAAGAUAAUGACGGUACCUUAUGAAUAAGCACCGGCUAACUCCGUG
Molecule: ribosomal RNA, 459 nt
Filed under: uncultured bacterium
Lineage: Bacteria
Description: bacterial SSU rRNA
Rfam family: Bacterial small subunit ribosomal RNA
Source: RNAcentral